Molecule: ribosomal RNA, 603 nt
Filed under: Triticum aestivum (bread wheat)
Lineage: Eukaryota; Viridiplantae; Streptophyta; Magnoliopsida; Poales; Poaceae
Description: partial small subunit ribosomal RNA
Source: RNAcentral
AUGAAGCUGCUGCCGUUCAAGGUGGUGGACAAGAACGGCAAGCCGCACCUCGAGGUUGAGGUGAAGGCCGGCGACGUGCGGACGCUCAGCCCGGAGGAGGUGAGCGCGAUGGUGCUCACGAGGAUGAAGGAGACAGCCGAGGCGUAUCUAGGCGAGAAGGUCCGGGACGCCGUGAUCACCAUCCCGGCCUACUUCAACGACGCGCAGCGCCAGGCCACCAAGGACGCCGGCGCCAUCGCCGGCCUCAACGUCGUUCGCCUCAUCAACGAGCCCACUGCCGCCGCCAUCGCCUACGGCCUCGACAAGGUGGCCGACGGGAAGGAGCGGAACGUGCUGGUGUUUGACCUCGGCGGCGGUACCUUCGACGUGAGCGUGCUCGCGCUCGACGGUGGCGUCUUCGAGGUCCUCGCCACCAACGGCGACACCCAUCUCGGCGGCGAGGACUUCGACCAGCGCGUCAUGGACCACUUCAUCCGGCUCGUCAAGCGGAAGCACGGCGUCGACAUCUCCGGCGACGCGCGCGCGCUCGGCAAGCUCCGCCGCGAGUGCGAGCGCGCCACGUGGUUCUGGUCGAGGCUGUCGAUGUCGAAGUACCCCUCUUAA